RNAcentral lists this ribosomal RNA (254 nucleotides) under uncultured bacterium. RNAcentral's name for it is "partial 16S ribosomal RNA". It matches the Rfam family "Bacterial small subunit ribosomal RNA", at positions 524 to 776 of the family's 1533-position model. The record is from RNAcentral.
UACGGGGGGGAGCAAGCGUUGUUCGGAUUUACUGGGCGUAAAGGGCGCGUAGGCGGCGUGACAAGUCACUUGUGAAAUCUCCGGGCUUAACUCGGAACGGUCAAGUGAUACUGUCGUGCUAGAGUACAGAAGGGGCAACUGGAAUUCUCGGUGUAGCGGUGAAAUGCGUAGAUAUCGAGAGGAACACCUGCGGCGAAGGCGGGUUGCUGGGCUGAUACUGACGCUGAUGCGCGAAAGCCAGGGGAGCGAACGGG